UAUGACAGCAUUAUUACGAGGUGGU
RNAcentral lists this non-coding RNA (25 nucleotides) under Mus musculus (house mouse). Lineage: Eukaryota; Metazoa; Chordata; Mammalia; Rodentia; Muridae. The record is from RNAcentral.